Long non-coding RNA from Lagopus muta (rock ptarmigan), 1212 nucleotides. RefSeq lists it as uncharacterized. The record is from RefSeq and is a predicted model, not a curated record. Lineage: Eukaryota; Metazoa; Chordata; Aves; Galliformes; Phasianidae. The transcript is spliced from 4 exons.
AUUUUGGGAGAAAUGAUCUGUUUCAGCUGGACUGAAAUUUCUUCUAUCUUGAUUCUUCUGAACGAUUUUCUUCGGUGCAAUCCAUACCAUUUUCAAGGUUUUGAUGGCUGGUCAGCUUGUGGAAAUCUACAUCUUGUUGGAAUCAAUGACUUUCCAUGAAAUGCAGUUUUUCACCUUGCCCGGAAUAUAAGGCUGCAGAUCUUCAAGCUUAAAAAAUCAAUUCUCGCUGUUCUUGAGAUAGAGGACAGAAUGUCAUGUUGUUGGGAUGAUAAUCUCAGGAAAUGCCUUUUCCUCCUUCUCCACCUCUGAAACAUGGUUUUAACACUUCUACCUGUUGUGUAAGAAAGCUCUUCUCAGACUGCCUCCUCCUCAAUGUCACAGCAGUUUUCUGUCUAACUAGAAGUACCUAUUGGUGUCCCAACUUGGCUUUAUUUGGUACCUCACCUUUUCAAGAGCUGAGAAAGAAAAGGAGAGAGACAAAGGCUAUCCACACAGUUAAAAAUAAAAUGGGAAAUAAUGUAGAGGACAAAAUUCAGGCUAACAGCAGAGUACUGUCAGCCUUACUAUAUUAUAUGUAGUAAGGGGUUUUCUCUCAGCUAACAUUGUGUGUUCUGUGAAAUACACAGACAGAAGGCUUACUUUGAAAUAUGAGUACCUUUAUCUUAGAGAAAGUUUCAUAAUACUUUUGAAAGCUUUUCAUGGUUAUAACAGAAUUGAGAAUGUAUUUAAAAUAACCAAUUGCAAGCUAUUUAGAAAUUCAAAUUAAAGUAGAGCUUCAGCAAAUGGAAUGCUACAAUGCUAACAAGAUUAGAAAGCAUGAGCCAAUUUUCAUAUGCAAAAAUGUAGAAAAUAAUUUCUAAGUCAUGAAAUACUUGAAGGCUGUAUUAUAGAAAAAUGAGGAAUGGUGUGUUUGUUUGUGAAAAUAUAUCUAAUCUCUUACAAUCCAGAUUCUGUAGUCUUGCUAGCAUUCUUUUGAACCUGAAUACGAUGAGGUUUAUUUCAUAUUCUUUUUUGGAAAGAUAUGUAUAUACAUAUAACUGCAUAUGUAUACGUAACAUUGUAUAGUGACUCAUUUGCAUCCCAUUUUUGAUAGUACGGUCAACAUCCAUUUGAUUUCUGGUUUUGGUGUUUCACUUUUUGUGACUGAAAUGCCAUACUCAUUAACAAGCCAAUAAUCAGUGCAGAACUUCUGUUUUUCUCUUGAGUUUUCUG